Molecule: ribosomal RNA, 531 nt
Filed under: uncultured bacterium
Lineage: Bacteria
Description: bacterial SSU rRNA
Rfam family: Bacterial small subunit ribosomal RNA
Source: RNAcentral
CUUACACAUGCAAGUCGAACGGCAGCACGGGUGCUUGCACCUGGUGGCGAGUGGCGAACGGGUGAGUAAUACAUCGGAACGUGUCCUGUAGUGGGGGAUAGCCCGGCGAAAGCCGGAUUAAUACCGCAUACGAUCUACGGAUGUAGCGGGGGAUCUCCGGACCUCGCGCUAUAGGGGCGGCCGAUGGCGGAUUAGCUAGUUGGUGGGGUAAAGGCUCACCAAGGCGACGAUCCGUAGCUGGUCUGAGAGGACGACCAGCCACACUGGGACUGAGACACGGCCCAGACUCCUACGGGAGGCAGCAGUGGGGAAUUUUGGACAAUGGGCGAAAGCCUGAUCCAGCAAUGCCGCGUGUGUGAAGAAGGCCUUCGGGUUGUAAAGCACUUUUGUCCGGAAAGAAAUCCCUGGUCCUAAUAUGGCCGGGGGAUGACGGUACCGGAAGAAUUAAGCACCGGCUAACUACGUGCGAGCAGCCGCGGUAAUACGUUGGGUGCAAGCGUUAAUCGGAAUUACUGGGGCGUAAAGCGUGCG